UGCAGUCGAGCGAAUGAUGAGGAGCUUGCUCCUCUGAUUUAGCGGCGGACGGGUGAGUAACACGUGGGUAAUCUGCCUGUAAGACGGGGAUAACUCCGGGAAACCGGGGCUAAUACCGGAUAACAAGAGAAGAAGCAUUUCUUCUUUUUGAAAGUCGGUUUCGGCUGACACUUACAGAUGAGCCCGCGGCGCAUUAGCUAGUUGGUGAGGUAACGGCUCACCAAGGCGACGAUGCGUAGCCGACCUGAGAGGGUGAUCGGCCACACUGGGACUGAGACACGGCCCAGACUCCUACGGGAGGCAGCAGUAGGGAAUCUUCGGCAAUGGGCGAAAGCCUGACCGAGCAACGCCGCGUGAGCGAUGAAGGCCUUCGGGUCGUAAAGCUCUGUUGUUAGAGAAGAACAAGUACGAGAGUAACUGCUCGUACCUUGACGGUACCUAACCAGAAAGCCACGGCUAACUACGUGCCAGCAGCCGCGGUAAUACGUAGGUGGCAAGCGUUAUCCGGAAUUAUUGGGCGUAAAGCGCGCGCAGGCGGUCUCUUAAGUCUGAUGUGAAAGCCCACGGCUCAACCGUGGAGGGUCAUUGGAAACUGGGAGACUUGAGUGCAGGAGAGAAAAGUGGAAUUCCACGUGUAGCGGUGAAAUGCGUAGAGAUGUGGAGGAACACCAGUGGCGAAGGCGGCUUUUUGGCCUGUAACUGACGCUGAGGCGCGAAAGCGUGGGGAGCAAACAGGAUUAGAUACCCUGGUAGUCCACGCCGUAAACGAUGAGUGCUAGGUGUUGGGGGGGUUCCACCCUCAGUGCUGAAGUUAACACAUUAAGCACUCCGCCUGGGGAGUACGACCGCAAGGUUGAAACUCAAAGGAAUUGACGGGGGCCCGCACAAGCAGUGGAGCAUGUGGUUUAAUUCGAAGCAACGCGAGAACC
Molecule: ribosomal RNA, 929 nt
Filed under: Fictibacillus barbaricus
Lineage: Bacteria; Bacillati; Bacillota; Bacilli; Caryophanales; Fictibacillaceae
Description: bacterial SSU rRNA
Rfam family: Bacterial small subunit ribosomal RNA
Source: RNAcentral